GACGAACGCUGGCGGCGUGCUUAACACAUGCAAGUCGAACGGAAAGGCCCUGCUUUCGUGGGGUGCUCGAGUGGCGAACGGGUGAGUAACACGUGGGUAUCCUGCCCUGGACUUUGGGAUAAUUUCAGGAAACUGGGGCUAAUACCGGAUAGUAGCCCCGGCUGCCUGGUGGGGGUGGGAAAGGUUCGGCGGUUGGGAAUUGACUCGCGGCUUAUCAGCUUGUUGGUGGGGUAGUGGCUGACCAAGGAUUUGAGGGGUAGCCGGCGUGCGAGGGUGACCGGCCACACUGGUACUGAGAUACGGCCCAGACUCAUACGGGCGGCAGCAGUCAGGAAUAUAGCACGAUGGGCGGAAGACUGAUGCAGCAACGCAGCGUGCGGGAUGAAGGACUUCGGGUUGUACACCGCUUGCGCCUGUGACGAAGCGUGAGUGACGGUAAUGUGUAAAGAAGCACCGGCUAACUCCGUG
RNAcentral lists this ribosomal RNA (468 nucleotides) under uncultured bacterium. RNAcentral's name for it is "partial 16S ribosomal RNA". It matches the Rfam family "Bacterial small subunit ribosomal RNA", at positions 28 to 507 of the family's 1533-position model. The record is from RNAcentral.